Molecule: ribosomal RNA, 489 nt
Filed under: Triticum aestivum (bread wheat)
Lineage: Eukaryota; Viridiplantae; Streptophyta; Magnoliopsida; Poales; Poaceae
Description: partial small subunit ribosomal RNA
Source: RNAcentral
AUGUUUUUAACUGGAGUGCUGCAUGGGAUUGUACCGUGCUACUGUACUUUAUCCGAUCGUCAUAUGAACACUCCAGUUAUUUGUCCUGUGUGCCGUACUGAUCCAGAGGAUCUUCGGCAUAUGUUAUUCUUUUGUGACAGAGCAAAAUCAGUGUGGAAGGAACUGGGUUUGAGUGAAACUAUUGAAGCUGCAGCGACCGAUGAGCGUUCUGGUUCAGUCAUUUUGGAACGUCUGUUGUGUGCUGAAAUCUCUGGAGGCAACAUCCCAAUUGCUAAUGGAAUUGAGAUGAUUAUGGUGGCUGGAUGGUACUUAUGGUGGGAUCGCCGGAAAAUUUCUCACAAGGAAACCUGCGGUUCAGCAGCUCGAUCAGCCAUGAGCAUUAGAGGUAUAGUAGCUAAUACCCUGACUACCAAACUGAAGGUACUAACGCGAUCUAUGAGAUGGGUCAGAUCGGCUGCCGGAGUAAUUAAACUAAAUGUGGAUGCUUAG